CCUACGGGAGGCAGCAGUGGGGAAUAUUGCACAAUGGGGGAAACCCUGAUGCAGCGACGCCGCGUGAGCGAGGAAGUAUUUCGGUAUGUAAAGCUCUAUCAGCAGGGACGAAAAAAGACGGUACCUGACUAAGAAGCCCCGGCUAACUACGUGCCAGCAGCCGCGGUAAUACGUAGGGGGCAAGCGUUAUCCGGAUUUACUGGGUGUAAAGGGAGCGUAGACGGAAAGGCAAGCCAGAAGGGAAAGGGCAGUGCUCAACCCUGUACAUGCUUUUGGAACUGUGGUUCUAGAGUGCAGGAGAGGUAAGUGGAAUUCCUAGUGUAGCGGUGAAAUGCGUAGAUAUUAGGAGGAACACCAGUGGCGAAGGCGGCUUACUGGACUGUAACUGACGUUGAGGCUCGAAAGCGUGGGGAGCAAACAGGAUUAGAUACCCUGGUAGUC
RNAcentral lists this ribosomal RNA (441 nucleotides) under uncultured bacterium. Its description in RNAcentral is "partial 16S ribosomal RNA". It matches the Rfam family "Bacterial small subunit ribosomal RNA", at positions 338 to 795 of the family's 1533-position model. The record is from RNAcentral.